Molecule: ribosomal RNA, 623 nt
Filed under: uncultured bacterium
Lineage: Bacteria
Description: bacterial SSU rRNA
Rfam family: Bacterial small subunit ribosomal RNA
Source: RNAcentral
GAACGAGAUCUUCGGAUCUAGUGGCGGACGGGUUAGUAACGCGUGGGAACGUACCCUUCACUACGGAAUAGUCCUGGGAAACUGGGUUUAAUACCGUGUACGCCCUUCGGGGGAAAGAAUUUCGGUGAGGGAUCGGCCCGCGUUAGAUUAGUUAGUUGGUGGGGUAACGGCCUACCAAGACUACGAUCUAUAGCUGGUUUGAGAGGAUGAUCAGCAACACUGGGACUGAGACACGGCCCAGACUCCUACGGGAGGCAGCAGUGGGGAAUCUUAGACAAUGGGGGCAACCCUGAUCCAGCCAUGCCGCGUGAGUGAUGAAGGCCUUAGGGUCGUAAAGCUCUUUCGCCUGUGAUGAUAAUGACAGUAGCAGGUAAAGAAACCCCGGCUAACUCCGUGCCAGCAGCCGCGGUAAUACGGAGGGGGUUAGCGUUGUUUGGAAUUACUGGGCGUAAAGCGCGCGUAGGCGGAUUAGUCAGUUAGAGGUGAAAUCCCAGGGCUCAACCCUGGAACUGCCUUUAAUACUGCUAGUCUUGAGUUCGAGAGAGGUGAGUGGAAUUCCGAGUGUAGAGGUGAAAUUCGUAGAUAUUCGGAGGAACACCAGUGGCGAAGGCGGCUCACUGGCU